RNAcentral lists this ribosomal RNA (330 nucleotides) under uncultured bacterium. RNAcentral describes it as "bacterial SSU rRNA". It matches the Rfam family "Bacterial small subunit ribosomal RNA", at positions 1023 to 1352 of the family's 1533-position model. The record is from RNAcentral.
GGGGCCGGUUCACAGGUGGUGCAUGGUUGUCGUCAGCUCGUGUCGUGAGAUGUUGGGUUAAGUCCCGCAACGAGCGCAACCCUCGUUCCAUGUUGCCAGCGCGUAAUGGCGGGGACUCAUGGGAGACUGCCGGGGUCAACUCGGAGGAAGGUGGGGACGACGUCAAAUCAUCAUGCCCCUUAUGUCUUGGGCUUCACGCAUGCUACAAUGGCCGGUACAAAGGGUUGCGAUACUGUGAGGUGGAGCUAAUCCCAAAAAGCCGGUCUCAGUUCGGAUUGGGGUCUGCAACUCGACCCCAUGAAGUCGGAGUCGCUAGUAAUCGCAGAUCAG